RNAcentral lists this ribosomal RNA (497 nucleotides) under uncultured bacterium. Its description in RNAcentral is "partial 16S ribosomal RNA". It matches the Rfam family "Bacterial small subunit ribosomal RNA", at positions 28 to 507 of the family's 1533-position model. The record is from RNAcentral.
GAUGAACGCUGGCGGCGUGCCUAAUACAUGCAAGUCGAGCGAACGGACGAGAAGCUUGCUUCUCUGAUGUUAGCGGCGGACGGGUGAGUAACACGUGGAUAACCUACCUAUAAGACUGGGAUAACUUCGGGAAACCGGAGCUAAUACCGGAUAAUAUUUUGAACCGCAUGGUUCAAAAGUGAAAGACGGUCUUGCUGUCACUUAUAGAUGGAUCCGCGCUGCAUUAGCUAGUUGGUAAGGUAACGGCUUACCAAGGCAACGAUGGAUAGCCGACCUGAGAGGGGUGAAGGUCACCAUUGAAAUGGGACACGGUCCCAGUUCCUUCGGGAGGACGCAUUUGGGGAAUUUUCGCCAAUGGGCGAAGGCUUGCGGGACCAAGGCCGGUUGGCUGUUGAGGGUCUUCGAUUCUAAAAAUCCUUUUUUUGGGGAAGACAAUUUUUGUAGGUACUUUUGAAACUCUUGCGGUUCCUUAAUCGGAAAGCCGCGCCAACUUCCUU